UACGUAGGUGGCAAGCGUUGUCCGGAUUUACUGGGCGUAAAGAGCGCGCAGGCGGUCGUUCAAGUCGCGUGUGAAAGCCCCCGGCUCAACUGGGGAGGGUCACGCGAUACUGAUCGACUCGAAGGCAGGAGAGGGUAGUGGAAUUCCCGGUGUAGUGGUGAAAUGCGUAGAUAUCGGGGGGAACACCAGUGGCGAAGGCGACUACCUGGCCUGUUUCUUGACGCUGAGGCGCGAAAGCUAGGGGAGCAAACGGG
This 254-nucleotide ribosomal RNA is filed under the name uncultured bacterium. RNAcentral's name for it is "partial 16S ribosomal RNA". It matches the Rfam family "Bacterial small subunit ribosomal RNA", at positions 524 to 776 of the family's 1533-position model. The record is from RNAcentral.